Molecule: unclassified non-coding RNA, 345 nt
Filed under: soil metagenome
Description: partial contains 5.8S ribosomal RNA, internal transcribed spacer 2, and large subunit ribosomal RNA
Rfam family: 5.8S ribosomal RNA (bases 1-120)
Source: RNAcentral
GAUGAAGAACGUAGCGAAAUGCGAUACGUAAUGUGAAUUGCAGAAUUCAGUGAAUCAUCGAGUCUUUGAACGCACAUUGCGCCCCCUGGUAUUCCGGGGGGCAUGCCUGUCCGAGCGUCAUUGCUGCCCUCAAGCACGGCUUGUGUGUUGGGCCUCCGGCCUCCUCCCGGGGGACGGGCCCGAAAGGCAGCGGCGGCACCGCGUCCGGUCCUCGAGCGUAUGGGGCUUCGUCACCCGCUCUUGUAGGCCCGGCCGGCGCUUGCCGACACAUCAAUCUUUUUUCCAGGUUGACCUCGGAUCAGGUAGGGAUACCCGCUGAACUUAAGCAUAUCAAUAAGCGGAGGA